CACUGCGGUAAUUAAGAUGUUCAAAAUUCCGGUGAUUUAUUUUAUGAUCGUGAAUUUUUUAAAUUAAAUUUAAAAUUGUUUUUAAGAAAACGAUUCGCAAAAGUAUAAAAUAAAGAUUUGUUAUUUCUAAAGAAUAAUUCACAUUAAAUGGAUAAAAAGUGAAAAAUGUUAGAAGCGUAUAACAAGUAAUUGCAUAGCAAAAAAAUAAUUUUCUACCUAGCAUUUACAAUUUUUAAAAAGAUCAAAGAAUGGAAAGUUAUCAAGAUGAGAAAACUCAAGAACAAUUAAUAGUUCGAGUAUCUACUGUGCACGAAGUGGAAGAUCAAGAAGUUAUAAUCCCAAGAUUCAAUUGUAUUCAAUUAUUUUGCGAUUGUUGUCUUUGUUUAACGGCGUGCGUUGAAGUAGUGUUUUUAUGUUCUGAACUCUGUCGCUGAAGGUGAAGAAUAAUGUAAAGUGUAAAAUUUGCAAGUUUUUUUUUUACACAUUGUUUGAUAUUAAUAUAUAAAAACAAUAAAAUGUUUUAAUUUAAAA
Non-coding RNA from Hydra vulgaris (swiftwater hydra), 531 nucleotides. The record is from RefSeq and is a predicted model, not a curated record. NCBI's taxonomy places the organism in Eukaryota, Metazoa, Cnidaria, Hydrozoa, Anthoathecata, Hydridae.